RNAcentral lists this ribosomal RNA (251 nucleotides) under uncultured prokaryote. Its description in RNAcentral is "partial 16S rRNA". It matches the Rfam family "Bacterial small subunit ribosomal RNA", at positions 525 to 775 of the family's 1533-position model. The record is from RNAcentral.
ACGGAGGGGGCUAGCGUUGUUCGGAAUUACUGGGCGUAAAGAGCGCGUAGGCGGCUCGAACAGUUAGGCGUGAAAGGCCUGGGCUUAACCUGGGAACUGCGCUUAAUACUAGCGAGCUUGAGUCCGGAAGGGGGUGGCGGUAUUCCCAGUGUAGAGGUGAAAUUCGGAGAUAUUGGGAAGAACACCGGUGGCGAAGGCGGCCCCCUGGUCCGGAACUGACGCUGAGGUGCGAAAGCGUGGGGAGCAAACAG